UCCCUGGUGGCUCAGAUGGUAAAGAAUCUGCCUGCAAUGCAGGAGACUUGGGUUCAAUCCCUGGUUUGGGAA
This 72-nucleotide transfer RNA is filed under the name Capra hircus (goat). It matches the Rfam family "tRNA". From Rfam's summary of the family: Transfer RNA (tRNA) molecules are approximately 80 nucleotides in length. Their secondary structure includes four short double-helical elements and three loops (D, anti-codon, and T loops). The record is from Rfam by way of RNAcentral. RNAcentral also lists the same sequence under 1 other name. Lineage: Eukaryota; Metazoa; Chordata; Mammalia; Artiodactyla; Bovidae.